UUCCUUGAGAGAUGUGUCUCUAAACGGUGCUUUAGCUGUUAGCUCUGAUGAUCGUUACUUAGCGACUAGAGGAGUUGAUCGCCAUGUUCAUAUAUGGGACGUUCAUACCAGAGAACAUGUCCAUGUUCAUAUAAAGUCCAAUUUUUGUUUUGUGGUUUCUUCCGUCAAGUCUCAGCUUUUUAUGAUUAUGUGUCUACAGGCCUUUACAGGUCACAGGAACACUAUUUCUUCCCUAUGAUUCAGACACGGAACCGCGGAGCUCUACUCUGGUUCAUUUGAUCGAAGUGUCAAGGAGUGCACUUACGGUUGGGAGAGAUACAAUCAUGCAGUUACACAAGGAGAAGGCUCCCUAUGUAGCUAAGGCUAAUGAGUCGCAAGGUUGAGUAUAAGAAGACGAGAAACUCCGAGUUGCCCGAGUCAUUCACAAGAAGAAGAGGAGGAGAAGAAGAAGAAGAAGAAAAAACUUCGUUGUUGCCUAAGAAUGACGGCUGUGGCUGCAGUCUAGUGUUUACGGUUUAGACUUUUGGUUAAGUUUUGGUUUAGGUUUUAGUUAUUUUUUAAUAAUGCUACAAUAUCAAAUAUUAUCUGCUAUUAUAAAUUAUACAAUUGCACAACUA
Brassica napus (rape) is the source of this 617-nucleotide long non-coding RNA. RefSeq lists it as uncharacterized. The record is from RefSeq and is a predicted model, not a curated record. NCBI's taxonomy places the organism in Eukaryota, Viridiplantae, Streptophyta, Magnoliopsida, Brassicales, Brassicaceae. The transcript has 3 exons.